CGGUUGAAGUGGAGAACAUAUCUGUAAUUAUAGCAUCAUUAACAGGUUGUAUUUUGAAAUCAUGGACACCAAUAGGCUUGCAUAUUCCAAACUUUAAUGAGUUUGAAUCCCUUUGAUAUCUGGUACGGACGACAAUUUCCGGAUUAGAAACUAUCUCCAGAAGAGGUUAAAUAAGAUAUUGAAACUAAAGAUUGAUAAAUCUGAGUUUAUAGGCCGUCAUAUGUUACAAAACUACAAUGAUCAUGAGUUUAAAGAACAGAAUAAACCCAGUGUCGAGGAGAAGCACGUCUACACACAUCAACUUGCCACCGCGUAAGCUUCUUGCUUCCCAGAACCUGAGAAGACACACCUCCAGCCUUCAAAUCAGAGAGCAAGACAGAUGAGGCAGCCAUUAUACUCAUAAAAUAAUUUUCUUUCAAUAUUA
RNAcentral lists this long non-coding RNA (424 nucleotides) under Brassica rapa (field mustard). RNAcentral's name for it is "long non-coding RNA (BRAP_LNC004607)". The record is from RNAcentral. Lineage: Eukaryota; Viridiplantae; Streptophyta; Magnoliopsida; Brassicales; Brassicaceae.